RNAcentral lists this ribosomal RNA (366 nucleotides) under uncultured organism. Its description in RNAcentral is "bacterial SSU rRNA". It matches the Rfam family "Bacterial small subunit ribosomal RNA", at positions 526 to 896 of the family's 1533-position model. The record is from RNAcentral.
CGGAGGAUCCAAGCGUUAUCCGGAAUCAUUGGGUUUAAAGGGUCCGUAGGCGGUUUGGUAAGUCAGUGGUGAAAGCCCUUCGCUCAACGGAGGAACGGCCAUUGAUACUGCCAGACUUGAAUUACUGGGAAGUAACUAGAAUAUGUAGUGUAGCGGUGAAAUGCUUAGAUAUUACAUGGAAUACCAAUUGCGAAGGCAGGUUACUACCGGUGGAUUGACGCUGGUGGACGAAAGCGUGGGGAGCGAACAGGAUUAGAUACCCUGGUAGUCCACGCCGUAAACGAUGGAUACUAGCUGUUGGGAGCAAUCUCAGUGGCUAAGCGAAAGUGAUAAGUAUCCCACCUGGGGAGUACGUUCGCAAGAAUG